UCGUAGUCCGGAUUWGAGUCUGCAACUCGACUCCAUGAAGUCGGAAUCGCUAGUAAUCGCAGGUCAGAAUACUGCGGUGAAUACGUUCCCGGGCCUUGUACACACCGCCCGUCACACCAUGGGAGUGGGAUGCAAAAGAAGUAGUUAGUUUAACCUUCGGGAGGACGAUUACCACUUUGUGUUUCAUGACUGGGGUGAAGUCGUAACAAGGUAACCCUAGGGGAACCUGGGGU
This 233-nucleotide ribosomal RNA is filed under the name uncultured gamma proteobacterium CHAB-VI-37. Its description in RNAcentral is "partial 16S ribosomal RNA". It matches the Rfam family "Bacterial small subunit ribosomal RNA", at positions 1286 to 1518 of the family's 1533-position model. The record is from RNAcentral. Lineage: Bacteria; Pseudomonadati; Pseudomonadota; Gammaproteobacteria.